This 1272-nucleotide ribosomal RNA is filed under the name Streptomyces sp. Termitarium-T10T-6. Its description in RNAcentral is "bacterial LSU rRNA". It matches the Rfam family "Bacterial large subunit ribosomal RNA", at positions 1 to 1206 of the family's 2925-position model. The record is from RNAcentral. Lineage: Bacteria; Bacillati; Actinomycetota; Actinomycetes; Kitasatosporales; Streptomycetaceae.
UGUGGCCAAGUUUUUAAGGGCGCACGGUGGAUGCCUUGGCACCAGGAACCGAUGAAGGACGUGGGAGGCCACGAUAGUCCCCGGGGAGCUGUCAACCAAGCUUUGAUCCGGGGGUUUCCGAAUGGGGAAACCCGGCAGUCGUCAUGGGCUGUCACCCGCUGCUGAACACAUAGGCAGUGUGGAGGGAACGAGGGGAAGUGAAACAUCUCAGUACCCUCAGGAAGAGAAAACAACCGUGAUUCCGGGAGUAGUGGCGAGCGAAACUGGAUGAGGCCAAACCGUAUGCGUGUGAUACCCGGCAGGGGUUGCGCAUGCGGGGUUGUGGGAUCUCUCUUUCACAGUCUGCCGGCUGUGAGACGAGUCAGAAACCGUUGAUGUAGGCGAAGGACAUGCGAAAGGUCCGGCGUAGAGGGUAAGACCCCCGUAGCUGAAACAUCAGCGGCUUGUUUGAGAGACACCCAAGUAGCACGGGGCCCGAGAAAUCCCGUGUGAAUCUGGCGGGACCACCCGCUAAGCCUAAAUAUUCCCUGGUGACCGAUAGCGGAUAGUACCGUGAGGGAAUGGUGAAAAGUACCGCGGGAGCGGAGUGAAAUAGUACCUGAAACCGUGUGCCUACAAGCCGUGGGAGCGUCGCGCAUCGAGCUUGCUCGGUGCGUCGUGACUGCGUGCCUUUUGAAGAAUGAGCCUGCGAGUUAGCGGUGUGUAGCGAGGUUAACCCGUGUGGGGAAGCCGUAGCGAAAGCGAGUCCGAACAGGGCGUUUGAGUUGCACGCUCUAGACCCGAAGCGGAGUGAUCUAGCCAUGGGCAGGUUGAAGCGGAGGUAAGACUUCGUGGAGGACCGAACCCACCAGGGUUGAAAACCUGGGGGAUGACCUGUGGUUAGGGGUGAAAGGCCAAUCAAACUCCGUGAUAGCUGGUUCUCCCCGAAAUGCAUUUAGGUGCAGCGUCGUGUGUUUCUUGCCGGAGGUAGAGCACUGGAUAGGCGAUGGGCCCUACCGGGUUACUGACCUUAGCCAAACUCCGAAUGCCGGUAAGUGAGAGCGCGGCAGUGAGACUGUGGGGGAUAAGCUCCAUGGUCGAGAGGGAAACAGCCCAGAGCAUCGACUAAGGCCCCUAAGCGUACGCUAAGUGGGAAAGGAUGUGGAGUCGCAGAGACAACCAGGAGGUUGGCUUAGAAGCAGCCACCCUUGAAAGAGUGCGUAAUAGCUCACUGGUCAAGUGAUUCCGCGCCGACAAUGUAGCGGGGCUCAAGCGUACCGCCGAAGUCGUGUC